GAUGAACGCUAGCGGCAGGCUUAACACAUGCAAGUCGAGGGGUAACAUUGUGCUUGCGCAGAUGACGACCGGCGAACGGGUGCGUAACGCGUAUAGAAUCUGCCUUGUACAGGAGGAUAGCCUUUAGAAAUGAAGAUUAAUACUCCAUAAUGUUAAUUAGAGGCAUCUCUAAUUAAUUAAACAUUUAUGGGUACAAGAUGACUAUGCGUCCUAUUAGCUAGAUGGUAAGGUAACGGCUUACCAUGGCAACGAUAGGUAGGGGGUCUGAGAGGAUUAUCCCCCACACUGGUACUGAGACACGGACCAGACUCCUACGGGAGGCAGCAGUGAGGAAUAUUGGUCAAUGGAGGCAACUCUGAACCAGCCAUGCCGCGUGCAGGAUGACUGCCCUAUGGGUUGUAAACUGCUUUUAUACAGGAAGAAACCGAUGUACGUGUACAUCCUUGACGGUACUGUAAGAAUAAGGACCGGCUAACUCCGUGCCAGCAGCCGCGGUAAUACGGAGGGUCCGAGCGUUAUCCGGAAUCAUUGGGUUUAAAGGGUCCGCAGGCGGUCAAUUAAGUCAGAGGUGAAAUCCCAUCGCUCAACGAUGGAACUGCCUUUGAUACUGAUUGACUUGAGUUAUAUGGAAGUAGAUAGAAUAAGUAGUGUAGCGGUGAAAUGCAUAGAUAUUACUUAGAAUACCGAUUGCGAAGGCAGUCUACUACGUAUAUACUGACGCUGAGGGACGAAAGCGUGGGGAGCGAACAGG
Molecule: ribosomal RNA, 751 nt
Filed under: uncultured bacterium
Lineage: Bacteria
Description: bacterial SSU rRNA
Rfam family: Bacterial small subunit ribosomal RNA
Source: RNAcentral